UACGGGGGGGGUAAGCGUUGUUCGGAAUUACUGGGCGUAAAGGGCUCGUAGGCGGCCAACUAAGUCAGACGUGAAAUCCCUCAGCUUAACUGGGGAACUGCGUCUGAUACUGGAUGGCUUGGAUUCGGGAGAGGAAUGCGGAAUUCCAGGUGUAGCGGUGAAAUGCGUAGAUAUCUGGAGGAACACCGGUGGCGAAGGCGGUCUGCUGGGCAGUUUCUGACACUGAGGCGCGACAGCGUGGGGAGCAAACAGG
Molecule: ribosomal RNA, 253 nt
Filed under: uncultured bacterium
Lineage: Bacteria
Description: partial 16S ribosomal RNA
Rfam family: Bacterial small subunit ribosomal RNA
Source: RNAcentral